Molecule: ribosomal RNA, 252 nt
Filed under: uncultured bacterium
Lineage: Bacteria
Description: partial 16S ribosomal RNA
Rfam family: Bacterial small subunit ribosomal RNA
Source: RNAcentral
UACAGGGGGGCAAGCGUUGUUCGGAAUUACUGGGCGUAAAGGGCUCGUAGGCGGCCAACUAAGUCACACGUGAAAUCCCCAGGCUUAACCUGGGAACUGCGUGUGAUACUGGAUGGCUUGAAUCCGGGAGAGGGAUGCAGAAUUCCAGGUGUAGCGGUGAAAUGCGUAGAUAUCUGGAGGAAUACCGGUGGCGAAGGCGGCAUCCUGGACCGAGAUUGACGCUGAUGAGCGAAAGCUAGGGGAGCAAACGGG